GUUUAAAGGAGGACGCUCAUUAUACUUCAGCUUUCAAAGGACGAGUCCUACCUAGCAUGCAGCCUUCGAAACAAAACACAGCUUAUAUAAAUCGUUGGUGUACGUUGCCUAGAUGAAUGCAGUGAGCUGGUCGGUGACAUAAUGUUCCUGGCAGCAAAGUUUACUCCACAAAGAAAAGUGGUCCAGAAAUUGUGUGAAAAUGAGGAUGUCCAUGAUGCAAUUUCCAAAACUGAAGCCUGCAGGAAGACCUUACAAACACUUCUGGUGACUUUAGGGAGAAACUGGGAGACAUUUGAACAGGCAACCCAUGGGCUUGGGCCUGGUUUAAUGGUGG
Long non-coding RNA from Xyrauchen texanus (razorback sucker), 334 nucleotides. RefSeq lists it as uncharacterized. NCBI's taxonomy places the organism in Eukaryota, Metazoa, Chordata, Actinopteri, Cypriniformes, Catostomidae. The transcript is spliced from 3 exons. The record is from RefSeq and is a predicted model, not a curated record.